CUCCACGUUAUUUGCCGCCGCCGCCCCCGCCCUGCCCCGCCCCCGCUGCAGCCCGCCGUCGCCCCACCCUCGCUCGCCGCUGCGGAUCCACCACCGCCCCUCUACAGCCCGACGUCCCGUCCCCGUGUCACACCACGAGCCUCUUGCCGGCGGGCUGGGCCCUCCUCGCGCUGGUACUUGCUCUGGGAAGAGCAGGAGGGGUGCUGGAGCAGUGGUCGUGGCGUCCCCGGGUGCCUGCCGCCCUCCCCGGGCACAAGGUCGCCGUUAGCCCCCCGACCCCCCAGCGCACAAGGUUGUUAGAUGGAAGGACAAGGCGGCGGCGAUGGAGACGGGGAGUCGAUUAGGAAGGAGAAAGAGUUUGUGCAACUGCUGCUCAGUGCGAAAAACAGAGGAGGACGUCAAAGUGUGGGAGGUUGCAGUCUUGCAGGAGAUUAGCCUUACCUUGGCAAAGUAGCUUGCGGUCCUGAAGCUGAAAGACAGAUCCUAAAGUUGGCUUCACUUGGUAGUAACUAUGGAAACCUCAAGAAUGUUGUUGACGCCCUGAAGGCUUUUGAGUUGUAUUGUCAGGUCUGUCUAUGCAAAUUGAAAUUUACUUGAGAGUGAAUCUCUAAUGUUGUACCUUUUGCAAAAUACUACCAGCUAAAUAUGAUAAGGUUUUCUUCUUCCCAAUGUGAUGAGGCAUGAGGCAAAACCUCUUCAUAUAGAACAGGCUGCGUGCCUUGAUAGGGUUGAAAGCACUGAAGUAGUGUUACAUUGCUGUACUGUUUUUGAAACUUCAAGUCCCGCUGUUACUUAAAACCAACAAAGAACAGUUAUCAUUUUUCCUUGACACUGUAAGCUUGAUAGAAUACGCUGUACAUGCAACUACAUGUUGUCUCAUUACUUUAGUCUACUUUUCUUAAAAAGUGUGAUGAUUGUCGCUAACAAUGUUGGAAAGAUUCCAACAGAAAAUAAAUUUCUUUGUAGUGAACCCUCUAAUCAAAAAGAAAAGAGAAUCAUUUAUUCAUCAUUGACUAAAUCUAUUUAAGAGUUAAUCUUUGUUGAUAAUCUUCAGUGUAAACUCUAUUAUUUUUUGCUUCAUUGCCAGGAUUUAUGCACUUUUCCCAUGGCAUAAUAUAAGAAUCAAAAUCAAUUUAUUGGAUCACAAUCAUAUCUAGGAGUAUUUGCACCACUUUAAGUGAUCUUGUAUAGUUGGAAUGUUACAUUUCACUUUAAUUGCUUUCCUGAACGUACGGACUAAGAAAAUUUCAGUUUCUCCUGUCAUCAAUAAAUGUUAUAAGAUUUAGAUUAUUGAAUUCAGUAAAAGUUCAAAACAUAUGAGAGCACUAACCAUGUUUCGGCUCCUUGACUGAGGACGUACGAACUUGCAAAAAGCACAAGCGUAGAAGCGAAAGAAGGAGCGAGAGGAUUAAGCUUCCAAGUGCGGCAACUAGGAACAUCUCGAUCGGUGAUUUGAAGUGUGUUUUUCAAUAGCAUGGUGCAUGGAUACUUGCACGUAUUCCCCCGAUGCAACGGACACUAUUUAAUUGUCAUAGAACUACAUACAAGGCUCUCAUGCAAAAAAGGUUUUAUCAGGCAUGAAGGUGGCGUGGGCCAGCAAGGAGUCUGGGGGUUCAGCAGGACAUCCUUGCAGGAGUAGUCGAGCAGAGGCUGACACUGGCCAAUAUGACCAGCAUUGCCGCAGAUCGCCUCCAUGUGGGCUGCUGUUGCAAAGUCACGGUGCUGCACCUCAGCGAAUUCAGCAGGAGCAAUUCAUUCCCCACCCAAGUGUUUAUUAUUGAUCAUUGCUGCUUCAUCUGUUUAUUCUCAUCUAACUAAUAUAUUUACGAACUUUUUGUAUGUUUGGCUAAUUCUUCUUUAUCUUAUGGGGCUUUGCUGUGAAAGAAAGAUGAAGUUCAAAGAGUUCAAUUUAGAGUUAGUGUAGUUU
Molecule: long non-coding RNA, 1927 nt
Organism: Triticum aestivum (bread wheat)
Lineage: Eukaryota; Viridiplantae; Streptophyta; Magnoliopsida; Poales; Poaceae
Exons: 5
Source: RefSeq, a predicted model, not a curated record